This 497-nucleotide ribosomal RNA is filed under the name uncultured bacterium. Its description in RNAcentral is "partial 16S ribosomal RNA". It matches the Rfam family "Bacterial small subunit ribosomal RNA", at positions 28 to 507 of the family's 1533-position model. The record is from RNAcentral.
GAUGAACGCUGGCGGCGUGCCUAAUACAUGCAAGUCGAGCGAACGGACGAGAAGCUUGCUUCUCUGAUGUUAGCGGCGGACGGGUGAGUAACACGUGGAUAACCUACCUAUAAGACUGGGAUAACUUCGGGAAACCGGAGCUAAUACCGGAUGAUAUUUUGAACCGCAUGGUUCAAAAGUGAAAGACGGUCUUGCUGUCACUUAUAGAUGGAUCCGCGCUGCAUUAGCUAGUUGGUAAGGUAACGGCUUACCAAGGCAACGAUGCAUAGCCGAACUGAGAGGGUGAUAGGCCACACUGGAACUGAGACGCGGUCCAGACGCCUAAGGGAGGCAGCAGUAGGGAAUCUGCCGCAAUGGGCGAAAGCAUGACGGAGCAACGCCGCGUGAGUGAUGAAGGUCUUCGGAUCGUAAAACUCUGUUAUUAGGGAAGAACAUAUGUGUAAGUAACUGUGCACAUCUUGACGGCACCUAAUCAGAAAGCAACGGCUAACUACGUG